Molecule: ribosomal RNA, 440 nt
Filed under: uncultured bacterium
Lineage: Bacteria
Description: bacterial SSU rRNA
Rfam family: Bacterial small subunit ribosomal RNA
Source: RNAcentral
CCUACGGGGGGCUGCAGUGGGGAAUAUUGCACAAUGGGGGAAACCCUGAUGCAGCAACGCCGCGUGAGCGAUGAAGGCCUUCGGGUCGUAAAGCUCUGUCCUAAGGGAAGAAUACUGACGGUACCUUAGGAGGAAGCCCCGGCUAACUACGUGCCAGCAGCCGCGGUAAUACGUAGGGGGCUAGCGUUAUCCGGAAUUACUGGGCGUAAAGGGUGCGUAGGCGGCCCUUCAAGUCAGAGGUGAAAGGCUACUGCUCAAGCGUAGUAAGCGUUUGAAACUGUAGGGGUUGGGUGCAGGAGAGGGAAGUGGAAGUCCCAGUGUAGCGGUGAAAUGCGUAGAUAUUGGGGGGAACACCAGUUGAGAGGGCGGCGCUGUGGACUGUAACUGUCGCUGAGGUACGAAAGCGUGGGGAGCGAGCAGGAUUAGAAACCCGUGUAGUC